Non-coding RNA from Parelaphostrongylus tenuis, 73 nucleotides. NCBI's taxonomy places the organism in Eukaryota, Metazoa, Nematoda, Chromadorea, Rhabditida, Metastrongylidae. The record is from the annotation of a GenBank genome assembly.
UCGUCGGUGGUGCAACGGUUCAGUACACGCUCCAGGGAAGUGUGAGUUCUGGGUUCUAAUCCCGGCUGACGCA